This 235-nucleotide long non-coding RNA is filed under the name Mytilus galloprovincialis (Mediterranean mussel). The record is from RNAcentral. Lineage: Eukaryota; Metazoa; Mollusca; Bivalvia; Mytilida; Mytilidae.
CAUUGGCACUUAUACCACCACAUCUUCUUAUAUCUAUUUUCCUGAAAUGUAAGGUCACCAUCAACAGCCAAGUAAAGCUCAAAUGAUUCACGCCAUUAUUCCGACAGCCCAUUAGUCCGACAACCCAUUAGUCCGACAACCCAAUAUUCCAACACUCUUUUAGAAGGGCGGUAUAAUGAUUGGGUCAACAUUGAGACAUUACAAUACAAGUAUAAUGUAAUUAUCAUUAUAUCAC